UAGUCCACGCCGUAAACGAUGUCUACUUGGAGGUUGUUCCCUUAAGGAGUGGCUUUCGGAGCUAACGCGUUAAGUAGACCGCCUGGGGAGUACGGUCGCAAGACUAAAACUCAAAGGAAUUGACGGGGGCCCGCACAAGCGGUGGAUUAUGUGGUUUAAUUCGAAGCAACGCGCAGAACCUUACCUGGGCUUGAAGUCCCACGAAUCCGGCUGAAAGGCUGGAGUGCCCUUCGGGGAAUGUGGUGAUAGGCGCUGCAUGGCUGUCGUCAGCUCGUGUCGUGAGACGUUGGGUUAAGUCUCGCAACGAGCGCAACCCUCCUCAAUAGUUGCCAUCAGGUUAAGCUGGGCACUCUAUUGAUACUGCCGGUGAUAAACCGGAGGAAGGCGGGGAUGACGUCAAGUCCUCAUGGCCCUUAUGGGUUGGGCUACACGCGUGCUACAAUGGCGGUGACAAUGGGAAGCAAAAGGGUGACCUGGAGCGGAUCCCAAAAAGCCGUCUCAGUUCGGAUUGCACUCUGCAA
Molecule: ribosomal RNA, 521 nt
Filed under: uncultured bacterium
Lineage: Bacteria
Description: bacterial SSU rRNA
Rfam family: Bacterial small subunit ribosomal RNA
Source: RNAcentral